UUCAACUGUCCUUCAUUUGAAGGUGGUCGC
This 30-nucleotide non-coding RNA is filed under the name Rattus norvegicus (Norway rat). Lineage: Eukaryota; Metazoa; Chordata; Mammalia; Rodentia; Muridae. The record is from RNAcentral.